AUUGAACGCUGGCGGCAGGCCUAACACAUGCAAGUCGAACGAGUGGCGGACGGGUGAGUAAUGUCUGGGAAACUGCCUGAUGGAGGGGGAUAACUCCUGGAAACGGUAGCUAAUCCCGCAUACCAUCGGAUGUGCCCAGAUGGGAUUAGCUAGUAGGUGGGGGAAAGGCUCACCUAGGGCACGAUCCCUAGCUGGGCUGAGAGGAGUACCAGCCAAACUGGAACUGAGACACGGGCCAGACUACUAAGGGAGGCAGAAGUGGGGAAUAUUGCACAAUGGGCGCAAGCCUGAUGCAGCCAUGCCGCGGGUAUGAAGAAGGCCGUCGGGUUGUAAAGUACUUUCAGCGGGGGGGCGUUACCCGCAGAAGUAGCACCGGCUAACUCCGUGCCAGCAGCCGCGGUAAUAC
This 406-nucleotide ribosomal RNA is filed under the name uncultured bacterium. Its description in RNAcentral is "partial 16S ribosomal RNA". It matches the Rfam family "Bacterial small subunit ribosomal RNA", at positions 29 to 526 of the family's 1533-position model. The record is from RNAcentral.